Passer domesticus (house sparrow) is the source of this 559-nucleotide long non-coding RNA. RefSeq lists it as uncharacterized. The record is from RefSeq and is a predicted model, not a curated record. NCBI's taxonomy places the organism in Eukaryota, Metazoa, Chordata, Aves, Passeriformes, Passeridae. The transcript is spliced from 3 exons.
GGGGCUUAGUUUCCAGCUGGGCUUAAACCAUGACAGCACUUUACAUUUGUCUAUUAGACUUGAUUGAGGGACACUUCAAAGCAGAAGACUAACCUGGGCACUACUACUUCAGGGUAGUUUCCCUGAAGAAAGUCUUUUAUUCCUUCAAUACAGUGGAAGAGAAAGAGGAGGAAAAUUGACACUUGUAGGUUCAUGUUGGUCUUAACUAUCCUUAAAGCUUCAAAAGAUUUGCCUCUAAGACAAGUCUAAGUAAGCUGUUGACUCCCUGACUUCAUCUAUGUGACCAAAAAGAUUUGAGGGAGCCAUGCACAUGAGAGAAAUGUUUACCUCCUUUACUAUACAUCAGAAGAGAAGAUGUGAUGAUGAUUCCUUAAGAACUGAAGCAUGUAAACAUCAAACAGGAUAGACAGUCAAGUUAGUUAGACAGUCAACUUAGAUUAAAAAGCCAAUUGCUGUUUCAUUGACAUUGGAACUGUAUCAGACCAAAAGCAGUUAUAAAAUGGUUCCUAAUCUAUGUUAUAAAAGUGGGCAAUAAAAUAGGUCAUAUAGUCUUCAUUCG